Molecule: non-coding RNA, 353 nt
Organism: Camellia sinensis
Lineage: Eukaryota; Viridiplantae; Streptophyta; Magnoliopsida; Ericales; Theaceae
Source: RefSeq, a predicted model, not a curated record
ACAGCUUCUGAUCCUCGGCCACGGACAACUCUUUGUGGUGAUUAUUUCUACAAUUAUUUCACUCGUGGCUUGGACAUAUUAUUUGAUGGGCAGACUCAUAAAAUCAAGAAGUUUGUUUUGCAUACCAACUAUCCAGGGCAUGCAGAUUUUAAUUCAUACAUAAAGUGCAAUUUUGCUAUCUAUAGUUCUGAUUUUGGUGGGUCUUUUCAUGAGGAAGUAAAUGCCUCUAAGCGCUGCAUUACACCCAGCACAAAAUGGGAGCAAGUGAAGGUGAAUUUGUUUUACUGCCAUUAGUGAUUGUACUAUGUUUUCUGUAGAGGAAGUUUCAACCUUCAAAAUAUCAAAAUAGAUUA